RNAcentral lists this ribosomal RNA (1177 nucleotides) under Priestia flexa. RNAcentral describes it as "bacterial SSU rRNA". The stretch from base 1 to 780 matches the Rfam family "Bacterial small subunit ribosomal RNA", at positions 36 to 873 of the family's 1533-position model. The record is from RNAcentral. Lineage: Bacteria; Bacillati; Bacillota; Bacilli; Caryophanales; Bacillaceae.
UUGCGGCUGCUAAUAACAUGCAGUCGAGCGACUGGAUUAGAGCUUGCUUCUAUGACGUUACCCCCGGACGGCUGAGUAACACAUGGGCAACCUGCCUGUAAGACUGGGAUAGCUCCAGGAAACCGGCACUAAUACCGCAUAACAUUUUCUCUUGCAUAAUAUAAAAUUGAAAGAUGGUUUCUGCUAUCACUUACUUAUGGGCCCCCUGUGCAUUAGCUAGUUGGUGAGGUAACGGCUCACCAAGGCAACGAUCAUAGCCCACCUAAGAGGGUGAUCGGCCACACUGGGACUGAACACGGGCCACAGUCCUACGGGAGGCACCCUACGGAAUCUUCCCAAUGGACGAAUUCUGACGGACAACGCCUCAUGAAUGAUGAACGCUUUCGGGACGAAAACUCUGUUGCAGGGAAUAUCUUGUCAAGAAGACUGCUUGUCCUUGACGGGCCUAACCUAAAGCCACCUUAACUAAUGCCCGCGCCCGGUUAUACGUAGUGGAAAAUUAUCCGGAAUUAUUGGGGUAAAAACGCGGGGCUGAGGUUCUUAAGUCUGAGUGAAACCCACGCUCAACAUGGAGGGGCUUGGAAACUGGGGAACUUGAAGCGAAGAAAAAAGGAAUCCAGUGAGGGUGAAUGCUAAGAUGUGAAGGACACAGUGGCGAGGCCCUUUUGGCUGGACUUAUCUGAGUGCAAAACGUGGGAGCCACAGAUAGAACCUGGUGUCACUCCUAACAUCAUGCAGAGUUAAGGUUUCGCCUUUAGGCUGCGCUACGAUUAGCAUCCCCUGUGAGACGCCGCAGAUGAACUCAAGAAUGACGUGCCCACAGCGGGGACAGUGGUUAUUAACACGCAAUACCUACCGGCUGACUCUCUGCAUCUAACUAGACGUCCCUCGGGACUACCUCGGGGACAUGUUGCGCACUCGUUCGAAAUUGGGUAAGCCCUACGAGAACCCUAAUUAAUGCCGAUUAUUGGCACCAAGUACGCCUUACAACUGAGAAGAGGUGAGUAAUGGUUGCCCUAUACUGGCCAAAGCGAAUGAGGACAAGGUAGAACGAGGUAGCAUCAGAACCUUCAUAAAUUUGUGACUCCGUGAACUCACUGAACCGAACUAUUCCGUAAUUCCGGCUUAACCCCCUUACCAACUUGACCCAUUUGGCCCUUUGCCCUAUAACCAUGGA